RNAcentral lists this ribosomal RNA (39 nucleotides) under Pichia membranifaciens. RNAcentral describes it as "partial 28S ribosomal RNA". Lineage: Eukaryota; Fungi; Ascomycota; Pichiomycetes; Pichiales; Pichiaceae. The record is from RNAcentral.
CGACCUCAGAUCAGGUAGGAGUACCCGCUGAACUUAAGC